AGGGGAAUGUAUAAUACCUCCAGUAAAACAGAGGCGUCUUUGUAGCCUGGUACUAUCAGUCUCCUACAGAUUCCAACUGUUCAGUGAGCUGCACUCCGCUAACAGUCUGACCUUCAAUUACUAUCUUGGCUGGAAGCCUGUGGACGCUUGUUGUGCAAGAAACACUGUGUCCUCUGCUGCACGGCAGUUUUACUGCGCCAUAAAAACGGAUUCACAUACAGGUUAUAAAUAUACCGUCCUGGGGACAAGACAAAGAUCUUCUCUGCAAAGAAGGAACAAUACCUUGAAAUAUUAUUGGAGGGCUGAUUUAAGUGAAGCCAGAUGCAAGUGGCUCUGUUCUGUUCCCUAUGCAGGUCAAACAGUUCCCUCCCGACCUGGCAGGAGACCAAACUCAGGAAGUGCCUGUAGGCCAUGGCUAGACACAGCUCUCACAGGCUUCGGUGACAUCGCGCCUGCUGGGGAACGCCCACUUUCUACUGCCGGGAGCUCACACAAUGUGAGCAAGGGGAAAGUGAAAGCAGCUGCAAGAAGGCAGGUCGGGAACACUCUCAGGCAACAUUUUCUUCAAUAACCUCCACAAAAUGCAGCGUGUCAUUAGCUGCUAAAAGCCAAUUGUAAGAAUAGGUAUAAAAUCGACAACUCCAGGGUGCAUUUCAGAAAAUACCCUGCUGAACAAACUGAGAAAUAGGGGAAAAGCAACACAAAUAUGGUCUGUUCAAGAGCCACACCUGCUGUGUGCCUCGCAUGGCAAACGUUUCUCCAUGUUCCAACUACUGGAGCUCAGUAAUUGAACUGCCAAGCAUCGGCCUCCUAAUGAACGAAUGUACCACCGGGCUCAAUAAGAAGCCACAAUUAGGAUUUUUUCCUUGUUGUUCAUUUCCAUUCCAUCUUUGCUCUCCUUGUCAAGUUACAAUUAAAGGGGUUCUCCACCAUAAGGAGAUUUUAGUAC
Long non-coding RNA from Hyla sarda, 949 nucleotides. RefSeq lists it as uncharacterized. Lineage: Eukaryota; Metazoa; Chordata; Amphibia; Anura; Hylidae. The transcript has 3 exons. The record is from RefSeq and is a predicted model, not a curated record.